GGAGUGUUCUCACCCCUCACCGAGAUGCACUCAAGGCCUAUUAGGACAGCUGAAGGAAUCCAUGAAAGAGACCGAGAAGAGAAGACUAGAAAGGAAGGUGCAGGAGAGGAUGGCUUCGCACAAGCAGGAGAGAAGGAGAAGUAAACAAUGUCAGUGGAGCAGGAAAUAGCUAUUUGUUCAUGAUUGCAUGAAAGUCAUCUUUGAAUGUGGUAUUUCAGUUGAAGAAGAUGAGUCUUCUGUAAAGAACUACGCAAUUGCAAAGAAGAAAAUGAAAACAGCGAUGAUGAUAUUAGAAGGAAUGGGAAGAAAAACUUCAGUGUUCUAGAAGAUGUCCCGACGAUAUUGAUAGUUCAAAAGGAAUGAAAAGAAUUGUUAGAUGUGCAAUGCACAGGCCAUCUUUAUAUUACAGCAGAUAGCUCAUCUUUCAAUCCAUCUGUUUUUCAAUGAGAUGUGAGCACCAGUUGUAACAACUUCAAUUGAAUUCUAAAUGGGGAAGACCAAGUUAAUUAAUUAAAGCCUUUGAAACUGUCUGAAAACUAUUAUUUUCUUGCAAUUGUUCCUUGCCAAAAAAAUACAGAAAAAAUUAGAUACUGAAAGUAUGAUAAAGUGUGUACCAUUUGAAUUUUCUCAUUAGUGCCUGGCUAUCUUCUGAGAAGGUGGAAGGGUGAUCCAUUCUUUCUCUCACUUUUGUAGUGAUGAGAGGUUUCAUUCGUUUUAAAGACUGGAUUUAAGCUUUAGUUCUCAGUGUAUUCGAUUGAAUUAUUGUCAGAUAUUUUGGAAAUAUUUUCUUUUCAUUUAAUUUCUCAGGACAGAAUCAUUUAUAUACAG
This is a long non-coding RNA of Diceros bicornis minor, 828 nucleotides long. RefSeq lists it as uncharacterized. NCBI's taxonomy places the organism in Eukaryota, Metazoa, Chordata, Mammalia, Perissodactyla, Rhinocerotidae. The record is from RefSeq and is a predicted model, not a curated record. The transcript is spliced from 3 exons.